GGGCAGCUACACAUGCAAGUCGAGCGGUGAAAGGAGCUUGCUCCUUGAUUUAGCGGCGGACGGGUGAGUAAUGCCUAGGAAUCUGCCUGGUAGUGGGGGAUAACGUUCCGAAAGGAACGCUAAUACCGCAUACGUCCUACGGGAGAAAGCAGGGGACCUUCGGGCCUUGCGCUAUCAGAUGAGCCUAGGUCGGAUUAGCUAGUUGGUGAGGUAAUGGCUCACCAAGGCGACGAUCCGUAACUGGUCUGAGAGGAUGAUCAGUCACACUGGAACUGAGACACGGUCCAGACUCCUACGGGAGGCAGCAGUGGGGAAUAUUGGACAAUGGGCGAAAGCCUGAUCCAGCCAUGCCGCGUGUGUGAAGAAGGUCUUCGGAUUGUAAAGCACUUUAAGUUGGGAGGAAGGGCAUUAACCUAAUACGUUAGUGUUUUGACGUUACCGACAGAAUAAGCACCGGCUAACUUCGUGCCAGCAGCCGCGGUAAUACGAAGGGUGCAAGCGUUAAUCGGAAUUACUGGGCGUAAAGCGCGCGUAGGUGGUUCGUUAAGUUGGAUGUGAAAGCCCCGGGCUCAACCUGGGAACUGCAUCCAAAACUGGCGAGCUAGAGUACGGUAGAGGGUGGUGGAAUUUCCUGUGUAGCGGUGAAAUGCGUAGAUAUAGGAAGGAACACCAGUGGCGAAGGCGACCACCUGGACUGAUACUGACACUGAGGUGCGAAAGCGUGGGGAGCAAACAGGAUUAGAUACCCUGGUAGUCCACGCCGUAAACGAUGUCAACUAGCCGUUGGGUUCCUUGAGAACUUAGUGGCGCAGCUAACGCAUUAAGUUGACCGCCUGGGGAGUACGGCCGCAA
This 852-nucleotide ribosomal RNA is filed under the name Ectopseudomonas mendocina. RNAcentral's name for it is "bacterial SSU rRNA". It matches the Rfam family "Bacterial small subunit ribosomal RNA", at positions 44 to 891 of the family's 1533-position model. The record is from RNAcentral. Lineage: Bacteria; Pseudomonadati; Pseudomonadota; Gammaproteobacteria; Pseudomonadales; Pseudomonadaceae.